This is a long non-coding RNA of Physeter macrocephalus (sperm whale), 586 nucleotides long. RefSeq lists it as uncharacterized. NCBI's taxonomy places the organism in Eukaryota, Metazoa, Chordata, Mammalia, Artiodactyla, Physeteridae. The transcript is spliced from 4 exons. The record is from RefSeq and is a predicted model, not a curated record.
CACGCCCGGUGCGCCUGUCCAGCCCCAGCUUCCGGACCGCCUAUCCGCAUCCCCGGGAUCCCCGACCCUUCUCCCUCAGCCUUGUGCCCAAAGGGGCUCAGAGGCCGGGGCGCCGUGCCCCGGGCCGCUGGAUACACCGAGUCCAGCCUCGCGGGGUUCCCCACACCCCAGAAGUACACCCCUAUUUCCGGAGGCUCGGACAGAACCAGUUGUGAUGUAAAGAAGUUUGCCUACCCUGAGGAAGAGAGAGGCCACCGGAAGAGAGCAAGACCCUGGAGGAUGAGAGACUGAGAAGGGAGAGAGAGGCAUCUGGCUAUCUCUCAGUCACCUCAGCUGACUAGCUUCGUGAAGCCAUCCUGCAUCCUUACCCCAGUCGACUUGCACCAACAGAGAUUAGCUACACCUGUGAAGCCCUGCUCAAGUUGCAGAAUUAACCGGUUGGAAACUAUUAGUGAGUCUUGAAAGCAAAGUGACUUGCCGUCAGCACUUGAAAAAAUAAAGGGCUCCCAAACGCUUCAGAAGACAGAAACAGAAUGGGGAGGGAACAGCCAUAAUAAUGCCUAUCACAGAAUGUAACAGGUCAUCA